CCCAGAUUCGUUGGUUGCCCAUGUGGCAUUCUAUUGUACACAGAUAUUCUGGCCCUGUUUCCUGUACCACAUAUCAACAGGAGAGGCUGGACCAGGCUUCGUUGCAUUAAUAUGAUCAGAGGAUGCUAGGUAUCAGGAGAAAGAAGAGAUGCUUUGUAACAGAGCAGCCUGCAGCCUGUUGAGAACCUAAACUGGAAACAAUGAAAGGAUAAGUACAGUGGAUGAGACACAUUUAUGAGGAUUACUCAUGCAGUAGGACAUCACUGAGAUCAACAGGUGAUAUUGUGAAGCAAAGUGGUAAGUGUGGCUCUGUCUACAGAGGAAUGAUGUGGAUACUAGCAGACAGAGAGCUCCUUUCCAAACACUGGUUCCCACUUUCUCAGCAGUCCAUACGGCAUAUUUUGAAAGAGAGGAUGAUAACAUACUUAUGGAGGAAAGGCUAGAUGCCAGUAAUUUUG
RNAcentral lists this long non-coding RNA (458 nucleotides) under Anas platyrhynchos platyrhynchos (common mallard). RNAcentral's name for it is "lncRNA (ENSAPLG00000024727.1)". The record is from RNAcentral. Lineage: Eukaryota; Metazoa; Chordata; Aves; Anseriformes; Anatidae.